CACCCUUUGCUCACGGAAAACCUAUUUGGUUCAAUGUCUUUAACGAUCAGUUUGCAAAGGGACAUUAGAAAAGAAAAGCAACUUCAGCGUGAGCCCCCUGGGAAAGGAAUCAUCUGUCACUCUCAAAAUCUCUGAAGAUUUCUGGGAGAUAGAACAGGGCCAUAGGAGCAAAGUACAGGCAGGUGCUCACAUUUACACAUUUAACGGCCCUGGACCGGCCUAGACUUGGGGUGACAAUGGAGCCAGGGAGUUUAUGCACAGGGACAAAAGCUCUCCAGGAGAAGUUGCUUUGUGAAGCAGCUGAAGGAAGAAACAGCAGCAGAAGCCUAAGUUAGAGGAAAGAAAGAAAAUAAGUUUCAUCUCCACAGUCUCCUCCGGUCUUUUUAAGGAAGGAAGAUGGAGACCACCGAAGGCGCCUCCCCGAAUGGGAGAAAGGUACUCUGCUGAGCGGACCGAGCACAGUGGGAUCGCGCAAGAUCAGCUUUUGGAGGAGCUCAGAGGCCGGCGAGGGUCUCCGGAUAUCAGGCCGUGCUCUCUCUCCAAAGGCUCUGCCAGUCGCCCAGUUAAACUGAUCUCAGAUUGGGCCGCGGCGGGUCCCCUGAGACCGGCCUUUGUUUGAACUCACCCUGGGAUGGGGCUGCUAAGCCUGAGUUGGUGACUCGGAGGUGGGAGCAAGGGUUGGGUGGGCAGACCGGGUCCAGCUUAAGAGCAGACGCUAACUAGCCUUAAUUUAAGGCCAGGCAAGACUAGCCUGUGCUACGUGGUUCCGCCCCCGUGCCUCCAUCACCCUCUGUCCCACUACCCUCUACCCCUACCGGUCCCCCCUUACACUCCCCCCUUCCAGUUCUAUCUCCUUAUAGGAGGAAACCGAGGCCCUGGGUGGCAGCAGAAACGGCAGUGUAGGUUCCCUGGCCAACGUGGACAAGCAUUAUUCUCUGCAUCCCAGGAAUUCACGAGAGACCCGCUUCAGCUUGUUCGGGACAGGGACCCGGAUUUCAGUCCUGCCCCAGAGAUGAUGACUUCCCAGAAGAGCUGAGCUGAUAUUAAGAAACUGCCUCUCUUGUUCUUGCAAGACAAUGGGUCCGGCAACUCACCACCGCUUGCUUGCUGGAGGCAGGAGACCCGGGAGUCUCGAAACCAUGUCUGGAGGACUUGGGGAGUCUACAAUCGUAUGCCUCUGCUCUACAGAAACAGGCAGCAUAGAGGACAGGAUGCAAAGGUCAAGAGUUCAAGCAGAAGGAGACUGAUGUCGUUUGCCCCAACACUGCUGCCUUAUUGCAAGGCCACUGAAGCCCCCUCAGGACACCCCCACGUUCCAUGAUAAUCAACAGAGGAAAAUUCGGGUGGAGGAGUGCCAGGGGCCCUGACCAGAGGAACAGUAAGCAGCUUUGGAACUGCCGGAAUACAGGCUAGCUAGCAGUCAGCACAAACACAUUGGGUGGCCUUGAGAGGCAGAGGCCCAAGGGACCUCACGCAGCUCUGCUUAGUGCCCUCAAGGUCACCGUGUCCCUCACAAUGCCCUCGCUGGGCAGCCUUACUGGUCCUUACCAUAAUAGUGAUUGACUUUUUCCAACCAUUGCUGCUGGAGCAGAUACAGCCACCACCCUUAGAAAGAAUUCAGAUGGAGAUCAUUAGUAAAUAGGUUAAGAUAUUUUAUUAAUGGCUUUGAAGUAGAAAAUCUUGAGAAGCAAUUUAAAGUUUAGAAAGGCACUUUUGAUAGUUUAAUGAAGGACUUGUUGAGGUCAGGGGACCAGAAGAAAGGCAGCCUGGUGAUUACAUGCUGACGUGCCUUUCUUGCUAGGUUAGGGAUCAAAGGCGAUUAAUUCCUUCUACCUAUCUUCCCCUCAGCUUCUUGAUUUUAUUUAAUAAAAUGUGGUUGGGUGGGUAUAUACCUUGAGGACAAAGUAGAAAUGGCUGGCUGUUAUAUGUGUGUGUGUGUGUGUGUGUGUGUGUGUGUGUGUGAUUCUUCUAAGAAUUUUAUAAGAUUACUUUUUGAGAUAAGUAAAAUGAUUGAGCCUUUCUUUGUAACCACAAAAUGCAGCCUGCCAGUAAAGGAACUGGCUGAGAAAAAUGCCUUGCUUGCUUACACUCUGUUAAUCUACAAGUUGCUUAGAUGCAAAUGUGAGCCCUUGGGAAUAAUUUGUUUUUCACCUGUAAUAUGUAAAAUAUUUAAUCAUGGAAAGGAAAUGAGAAACAUGCUGUUAUUACUUGUAUUCACUGUAAUCUUUCACUUAAAAAAUAGAAUGUAACCACAUUGUAAUGUUACAUUGCUUGAAACAUUUUGCUGGGGUAUACAAACUGUAAGGAAAAAAAUAAAGUCAGGAGGAAAACACCAGGAAAAAUGUAGAAGGAACGAUGUAAGGGAAACAGCAGAAGGAGGUAAAAGAAAAAUAAAGAGACCCUGGUGCAAGGUGUGUGGGUGUGUGUGUGUGUUUCCUUCUUUCUUUGCCGGCCCCAGAGAAUUAGGUUUUUCUCCCUCCGAGGAAGAAGUCUGUUGUGUGAUAAGCUGCUGACUGUGAACCUCCUCUUCAGCUGCUGAGCUGCGGAAAGCUGGACUUUCAGCAAGAUCUACCUACAGAGCCCUGGCUAUCCUAGAACUCACAUGAGAUUGCAUGUGUCUGCCUCCCAAGUGUGGGGGUUAAAGGCUGUGGAACUGGGCCAGUUCUCUUUGUUUUGUUUUGUUUGUUUGAAGCAGGGUCACACACUGCUCAGGCUGGCUAGAAUGACCUUGACCUGAUGACUUUGCCCCAGCCUUGCCAGGGCCAGGAUUGCAGGUAUAGGAGACUCUACCCAGCACAGUUUUUAAAAGUCAAAAAUAAUCUUGAGCUAUAGAAAAACCAUUUUGACCAAGUCAAAUAAAUGUAAGUAUGGAAUUAAAUAAAAAUAAAUAUAAGCAAAACAAAACUUGUAUUAUUUUUCAGUCAAAGGUUUGCAUUAAGGUGUGAUCUGAAAUAAUUCAUGUCACCAUUCUGACCCUGUUUAUCUGCAAAGUGACAGCCGGGACCAAGAGCCUUGCCGUGGAAGAAUUUGUAGGACCUGACUCCUGACUGGGCAGCUAGGUGCUUGGGAACAACGGUUUGUUUCUGAGGAGAAAAGAUCGCAGAGAAGAAAAAAACAAAGUUUAUCUUAUUUGCCUUGGUGUUUUGUCCAUGUGUCUGUCUGUGUGGUAGUACUGGAUCUCCUGGAAUCAGAGUUAUACUCAGUUGACAGUGGCCAUGCGGGUGCUGGGAAUUGAACCCGAAUCCUCUAGAAGAGCAGCCAGUGAUUUUAUUUUGUUAUUAUUUAUUUAUUUACUUGUUUGUUUGUUUGUUUAUUUUUUGCAGCCAGUGAUUUUUAACCACUGAGCCAUCUCUCCAGUUUGAGUAAGGGAUUUAAACUUGCAAAUUUGUAUUUGGUGUGCUGAUUUCCAAUUACAAAAACAUAUCUUAAUGCUAGUUUUUCAAGUAUACGUUUGAGAAUGGAGGUUUGUAGGAUUAAAAACAUGCUGUUUUUCUAUUUCUAGCCAUCCAGGGUGUAUAUUCCAGUAAUCCCAGCACACGGCAGGCUGAGGCAGGAGAAUAAAGAGUUUUGAAGCCAACUUGGCCUACGUAGAAAGACUGUAAAAAUAAACACAAAAACUUAACUGGGCGGUGGUGGUGCACAACUUUAAUCCCAGCACUCAGGAGGCAGAGGCAGGAAUUUCUCUAAAUUGGAGGCCACCCUGUUCUACAGAGUGAGUUCGAAGGCAGCCAGGAGUGUUACACAGAGAGAAAACAAAUCAAAACAAUAGUUCCAGGACAGGCUCCAAAGCCACAGAGGAACCCUGUCUCGAAAAAAACCAAAAAAAAAAAUAAUAAUAAUAAUAACAAUAAAUAACUAUAAACACAAAGACACGAGCUAUGUGUACUGCCCAGUGAUAGAUAUUUGACUAGCAUCCACAAGAGACCCCAGGUUUAAUCCCCAGCACCCCAAAACUCAAGCCCACAUGUGGGAAUCAUUUGUCUGAAUCUUUCUAAACUACAUUAAGAUGAAAUGUGGCUGAGGCUCUGCCCUAGGACUCAGGGCCCACUCUUCAGCGAAGUCUCAGACCGUGCGUGGGGAGCCACUCUAGUGUAAGGAUGGGAGUUGAAGGGGCGUGCUGCAUUGUCGUGGCACAACCUGAACUGCCUUUGAACCUCUGCACCUCUCCAAACACUUGCUUGGCUCUGCCAGGACCUUGACCUGUACCUGGAAUCCAUGCGGGCUGAGAAUCAGAGGCCAUGGUCCUAGCCAGACCGAGCCUUCUUGGCUCGCACAGGGCUCCUCCCCUCCUGCUCUUUCUCGUCAUGGCAUCGAAGGCCGAUCCUGCACAGCAGGACUGUCCUGCUCCUGGGCCACUGACUGAGUCACCAAGUCUCCUUCUCCAGCAGCCUUUAUCUUCAGAGACCUUGAAAAUCCCAGUCAGCUGUAGCCUGGGUCCUGGUGUUGACGUGGCUCGAACUUGCUGUGUUUACAAGGCUCUUUCAUGAGUCUUUUGCUUCUUCCGAUGCCUGCUGCAGCUCACAUGACAGCUCUUAUUUCUGAGGACAUGGACGUCAGACAGAGGAGGCCACGUUC
This is a long non-coding RNA of Arvicola amphibius (Eurasian water vole), 4575 nucleotides long. RefSeq lists it as uncharacterized. The record is from RefSeq and is a predicted model, not a curated record. Lineage: Eukaryota; Metazoa; Chordata; Mammalia; Rodentia; Cricetidae. The transcript has 5 exons.